AUGGGCCGUUGACGCACAACAUGUCUACAGACUUUUGGGUAAAAUGUAUAGGCCAUGCAUUUAUUAGGGAAAAUGUUACGCUUUAGGUCCUUUAAAGGUAUAGUUCACCUAAAAUCAACUGUUUGGUUACCAACAGGGUGAGUAAAUAAUGGCAGAAUUUUCCUUGGGCAACUGGACACCAUUUCUUUAGUUUUAAUCAGAAACUUUUUCAUCUUUGAAGUGCAAAUGCUUUAUCUAUUUACAAACUCUACGUUACCAAAGCAAAUCAUAUAUCCCCAAUGUUUGUCUUCUGUUUAGAAUCAGAACCAGCGAUAGCCCAUUCACAAGUGAAUCACUCUUAGGAGCCGAUUUAGUUUAAUGAAUCGGUCAAUCGCUUUAUCAUAUCUAUCUGAUUCAAAUCGCGAUUCAGUUUGAAUCAUUCGAGCAUUUGCACUCACGCGUUGGAUUGUUCGGAGCUGUUUGUCAUAGCAAAACCCAAUCGGUAUAUUGUUGAGCACAGAUGAGAAAAGAUUAAGUGAUAGAAGAAAUGGAUGUUUACAAACGAUUGGAAUAAACGUCGUAUUUGCCACCGACCGAUGAAGAAACGUGCUGCUCGCGAACGACAGAAAAGAAACCCAGCAGUAUGUGUUUGGAACGUCAUGACAUUUCCUGCAGCCAAUUUUUGAAGAAGAAAGUUUGUUGGCACCAUGCUGAUGUCUGUUUUCUUAACUAUUCCAAGCAAUGAAGAUAUGCCAGAAAAUGACUCCACACUGAGACUUCAUCAUUUGCAAAUUGCAGAGCUUACAGUCAGUCCUGUAUGUUGGAUUUGAAAAACAGAUUGAGUUGACAUGGCCUGUUGAGUUGACAAGUUGCCUGGUAACCGUUUCCACUCAGUUCUUUCUUAGUGUUCAAACUGUUCAAUGUAUCAAUUUCUACUCUGUUAUGAAUCUGUUAUGUGUACUUAUACUCUGAGGAUGUAGGAACAACCUUCAGCACUUCAAACUGGUUGUAGAUUAGAAAUCUCAAUAAAUACUAAUCUUCUUUAAGGAUCUAAAGUAUAGCUACUACAGUAUAAAACAAAAUUAAAUUCUUAAUUAUGUAAGAUGGUUAUGUGUUGAAUUUCUUUUUUGGUUUUACUAGACAACAAAUGUACAACGCUAGAUGGUAAUAUAAAGAUUAAUCUUAAUGUUCUAAUUGUAUAGUAAAAUGUAAAGAUCACAAAUAAUAUUCUCAGAGGAAUUUUCAAC
This is a long non-coding RNA of Cyprinus carpio (common carp), 1226 nucleotides long. RefSeq lists it as uncharacterized. Lineage: Eukaryota; Metazoa; Chordata; Actinopteri; Cypriniformes; Cyprinidae. The record is from RefSeq and is a predicted model, not a curated record.